This 553-nucleotide ribosomal RNA is filed under the name uncultured bacterium. RNAcentral describes it as "partial 16S ribosomal RNA". It matches the Rfam family "Bacterial small subunit ribosomal RNA", at positions 355 to 900 of the family's 1533-position model. The record is from RNAcentral.
UAGGGAAUCUUCCACAAUGGACGCAAGUCUGAUGGAGCAACGCCGCGUGAGUGAAGAAGGUUUUCGGAUCGUAAAGCUCUGUUGUUGGUGAAGAAGGAUAGAGGUAGUAACUGGCCUUUAUUUGACGGUAAUCAACCAGAAAGUCACGGCUAACUACGUGCCAGCAGCCGCGGUAAUACGUAGGUGGCAAGCGUUGUCCGGAUUUAUUGGGCGUAAAGCGAGCGCAGGCGGAAGAAUAAGUCUGAUGUGAAAGCCCUCGGCUUAACCGAGGAAUUGCAUCGGAAACUGUUUUCUUGAGUGCAGAAGAGGAGAGUGGAACUCCAUGUGUAGCGGUGGAAUGCGUAGAUAUAUGGAAGAACACCAGUGGCGAAGGCGGCUCUCUGGUCUGCAACUGACGCUGAGGCUCGAAAGCAUGGGUAGCGAACAGGAUUAGAUACCCUGGUAGUCCAUGCCGUAAACGAUGAGUGCUAAGUGUUGGGAGGUUUCCGCCUCUCAGUGCUGCAGCUAACGCAUUAAGCACUCCGCCUGGGGAGUACGACCGCAAGGUUGAAAC